Long non-coding RNA from Corvus hawaiiensis (hawaiian crow), 9907 nucleotides. RefSeq lists it as uncharacterized. Lineage: Eukaryota; Metazoa; Chordata; Aves; Passeriformes; Corvidae. The transcript has 5 exons. The record is from RefSeq and is a predicted model, not a curated record.
CGAAGUUGUCCGAUGGGGACUAAGGCUGAAAAUAUUCCUAAACUCAUUUUCUUUUUCCUCUGGAGGGAGAUAAGAGUAAACAUGAAUCAUUCUUCUAAAAGUUUGAGAAGCGUUUUGUUCCAAGAAGAAAUAUGUAAUUUUUUUUUUCUUCUUACAGUAACAAGUUCACAGAAAGCUUCAGGAGGCUUUUACAAAGGCUUGUAACCACUUUGAAGCUGGAAACUGUUUUUAUAUACGUACAGCACUUGCGUAACAAGGUCUUGACAGUGAAUGGGAUUCCUGGGUGCAGUUGCAAUAAAGUGAUUAAUAGUAUCAUUCAUGGUAUCAUACCUCACUCAUAGGUUUCCUGUAAGUUAAGAGGAAUACAUUGGCAGGAACACACUGGUUGUGACUUUAAACACGAUACUCUUGGGGGGAAAGUUACAGCUAACACAUGCACUGAAGGGCAGUGCAAUUAGUAAAGCUACGUAAAGGGCUAAAGAAAACAAUUUUUAGAGCAAAAGGUGUGGAAAAACAGGACCACAAAGAUCUAGUUCUGAGCUAGUUCUGUGGCACAGAGAAAGCUAAGUGGAUAUUGCCACACAGGUGGUGAAACCAAGGACAGAAAACAAGAUGUGUCUGUCAAAGGGAUGGGUCAGGGGUGAUCACUAUUCAGAAAUACACAAGUUGGGUGUGCGUUUGUUUGUUUUUUUUGUUUUUAUUUUUUUAAUCUGGACAGAGGGAGGACUGAUUUUGUCACCAAAAUGUUUGUCACUUGCUUGUGGCACAAAUCACUGAGAAGGCCAGGCAAGAUGCAAAAGAGGGUGCAGAGCACUUGUCAAAGGAGAAGUAAAUGUUCUGGCUGUGGGCUGCAGCAGCUUGGGAUGCAUUUGGAGCCUCAAGAGAAGUGACAAGAUUUUGGGUCAAUAUUCCCUAAAAAGCGGCUUAUUUCAUUUGAAAGCAAAUAAUGGGUCAAUAUUUCUGCUUAUUUCGUUUGGGGAUUAAGUUGUUAAACAGCUACCACGCGGCUGAAGCAUGGAGAAAUGUGCGCGGGGUGAUAAAAUACGACCUAGUGUUUCACUGUACCAGCAUCCCAUGAUUAGCUCAAACGAGACAUUUAGCUCGGUCCAAGAAAACAUCAGCCCUCGGGAACAGGCGGGGUGAGUAACACAGGAUCGCUUGGGCUGCGUCCCUGCCCAGCCUCAAAACACUCCCUGGCCAGCGCUGCUCCUAUUUUUAAUCGCUGCGCUAUGAAAAGCCCCGUUUCUCAGCACCUGACCUGGCGCUGCGCAGGCACGGACUCGGCAGCGCGUUUAUCACGCGGCUGUCAUCGCUUUUGAGGAAACGGGCCCAGGGCGUUUCGGAUGUUGUCCUAAAGCCACCCGGUGCGACAGGCACAGCGUGGCCUUUCUGCACCGGGGCAGCUCCUGCUGCGAGGCGCAGGCAAAGCGAUCCACCCACGAGAGCUGGACCCGAGGGGAUUUUUGCCCAGAGCUGAAUGGCACCCCGAAGUUGCAUUUAUUAAAUUGCCUCCCGUCUUGUUUACAUUGUUUCACAGGGAGGUGUUUACCCGCCCGAAAAGCUGAAAUGUUUCCUCUACUUGCAACACAAAAGCGCAGGACUCGGCGCACGUUACAGAGCUCUGGUGCAAUUAAAGGGACCCGUUUCCAGACUUCUUAAGCAAAACUCCCAUUACUUGCAACAGGUGGGGACUGUGUGCUGCGGCCUCGAGGCAGCAAACUGGUUCAUGGGCUUCACUUUCCAUGUUGGUCCCUAAAGCUACUUGCAGAAAAUCACCCAAAGAAACUCCUGGGAUCCCAGCCUCUACCUCCCCGUUUCAAAAUGCAUGGGUCACAGUGCCAAAGGACUGCCUGAUGUUUGAGGUUCCUUUCAGUUGCCACUGAAAUCAUUGGAAUUCAGCUCUUCAGUGUUUGGGAAGACCUGCCACAAUAGCAGUCCCCUGUUUGUAAUCAAGAGGAUUGCAAGAGCAAUCAAAUGCAUAUUGAGCUGAUGUGCAGCUCCCAGGAUUGUGGGGGGCACAGAAUCAAGCUGAGAAGUACGUGUGCCAUAGCUGUAGAAGUUGGUCCUUCUAAAGCAUUGAAAAUCCAGCUUUUCUUUCACAAGGAGAUGCUGCACGUGAGGAAUAUCACAGGUUAUAUUUAGUGUUACAGAGGCACGAGGGAGAUCUCAUUAGAGCCCAGCGACAACCAUCCGUUAUAAAGGGAACAGGAGCAAUUUCUAAGUCCUCAAAAAAUAGUGUGUCUCUGUUCUGCCCUGUCCUCACUGCCUGCUGCUGCUCUAGGACACAGCUUUCCUGAGAGAAGGAUCUGUGCCUGCCUGCUCAGUUAGCCCUGAUACAUCACGUUUUAUUUGCUGGGGGACUUGAACAAUGAGCAGCAAACACUCCUGUUCCCAUUUUAAACACAUGGAAACUGCAGUACAGAGAAAUAAAAUGACUUGCACAGAGUCACAAAGCAAUUUCAUGGCAGGGCUCAGACCAGAGUCUAGCUCCCUUGCUCCCAAACCCAUGUGCCAGCUUUUCUUUUCACUGACCCUUAAUUUUAAUCACCUUCCAAUAAAUUCUGUUGGCCUUUUCCAGUUGACUUCCAUGGGACUAAUGCCAGGUACCAAAUGAAGUCACCCAGAAUAUCGAAGCAAAAGGAGGCAGUAUUAGAUGCAAAGAAAGAACUGAUGGAAGAGGACAAGUAGAUUUUACAAAAAAGAAUAAAAAGGAGUGCCAUCCUUCCUGCAAAGUCAGAGAGGACACGUGUGAGAAAGCAGCCCUGUGUCCCAAACACUCAUCGUGUCCUGCCCAGGGACGCCACAAGGAGGAAUCACCACGGGCAGAUGUGAAUCCAUCUUUCAACCAGCCACAGCCACUUUGAAAUAAUGUAAAAGGAACCUUUCUGUGUGAAAUAUCCACCACCUUGUUUGCUCAGCCCCAACUGAAGCCAUCUGUUGGCUCUGCCAUAAGGAAGGACUGGCACCCCCAUCCAUGCCUUCAGAGGACCCCCAGGGAUGUAGGGCUCCUUUGGGAGCAGGUGCCUCUUGUAUCGGCCAGAAACAGCAGCCAAAUGUGUUAGGAGGUGUUUGUCUGUAUUUUCCAGAUGUGAAACUAGAUUGGACUGUCUGGUUUUGUCGUUGUGGGGAUCGGAUUCUGGGGCUGUGAUUUUGAAACUCCAUCCCUCAUGAUCUUGAGCAUUCUUGUGAUGGCAAGACUCAUUUUCUGCCCAGCUUUACUGCCCUCAUUCCUAAAGAUCUCACCAAUGUUGAAAUGUCUGUGGAUUUUAGAAAGGAGAAGAUGCCACAGGGUCAACAUUUAUACUAAAUAUUUAAAUAUGUACAUGUGAUUUAACUACUUCAACUGAUAUUAAUAGUAUUAAUGCCUUUUCAAGCCAGAGGUAGUCCUUUGAUCAUGUAUAUUUACUUCACACAUAAAAUAGACUGCAGGAGUUUGACCAGUUCUCUGGUACCAAAUCCAGUAGCUUGCAUAUCAUUAAUAUCUCCAAAUAUGAAAAAUUAGUAGUAUAAAUUUUGCACAGUCCUUCCAGGAUUUCAAAUCUUCGUCAAAGGCAAGAGGAAUUGUCUGAGGAAUAAGGACUUCUCAAUUCAGUGAGUGCACACUGUGCCAGAGAGGAAGAAAUGAAAUUAAACCUUCGCAACAGAUGAUCCUAUUAUAGAUGUGUGCUUGCACAGAAAGCCAGAAAAAGGGGGCUGCAGCACCUCAGCUAUAUUUUGGAGGUAUCACUGACACCCAAAGUUGCACAGCUUUGUGCUCAAAGGUAAGUAUGUUCUCCUUUCCCACCUUCUCCCCCAGGAAAAAAGGUUGCAAAGCAAAAAGCAUGGACAGGGGUUUUAUGAAGGAGUUUUGAUUGACUGGGGGUUAUUUUGCAGCACAAAAACAUCCAAGCAGUAAUGCCUUUUGAUUUGCAAAGAAUUUUUAUGUUGAACCUUGCAAAACACCUGAGGAUUACUCAGGAAGAGUGUCACAUACACCAUGUGCAAUGAUCUACACAAGGGUUGCAGAAACAGCCUUUAGAUAUAAAACAGGAAUAAGCAAAGCUUAAAUUCACUCUUUGAGAGGAAGAUAGAAGGGGUUUUGAUGUGGUAGCAUCUGAAGGUGUUGUAUUAGGACUUGCCACGCUGUACAUGCUCUGCUAAUCCAGGAUCCAUAGACAUAGGACUUUGUAUAGUCUAUGUGGAGCUCUGCACUGCCAGGCACCCAGGGCUGAUGCAAUCCCAGCUCACACACGGCUGUGCCUCUGGUUUGUGCAUGGAACUGGGAGCUUGGGGUCUUAGGGGCACACAGAGGCUGUGAGCUGUUGCUCAGGGGUGGAAUGUUUCAGCUACCUGAGUUUGGGACUGCCUCUCUGUUGUGGCAUCCCUCAGUCCAGCUGUAAAUCUCUGUGCACUGCAGGGUACAGGGAGAGCUGCACCACCAAGUGCCUGAGGUGCACCAAGAGCACCAGGGCAGGGGAAGGUCAUGAGGGCAGUGGUGGGAUUAGACUCAACUCAUUUCAGGUAUUUACAGAGUAGACCUCUAAGUGAGAGCUGUCACGCUGGGCUUUCCAGGCAGCAAGGAGAAAUAGGUGGGUUUACUAUGCCAUUCAUCUGCUCUGUUUUAACCAUCUCCUUUAGGAAGAGAUGAAUCACUGUAGACUCCAUCAACAGUAUUGAUUGGCUCUCCAUUGACUCGCAAGGGAACCACAGGUGACCUGCCCAAGUGCAGAUUUCUGCUUUACUGGGGUGAACCUGCUGAGAACUUUGUGCCCAUGGUGUAGGACUUGGCUGCUCUGAGCAUCUCAGACUGUGGCAUUUCAGUCAAUAACUACUUCAGCAAGCUUGGUAUUUUUGGAGAAGCGACACCCCUCAGGAGGAGUUUGCGGUGUUAAGUAGACAGAAGAAACAGCAGGUGGGAAACAGAGAUGCCCUGUGGUCAGUAGGAAAUAAAGUCUGUGCUUCCUGCUCCCGCAGCACGUGCCUCAAAACCUGCCUCUCUUUUAUAGCAGGUUUUCGUGUCUUCACAGAGAGAUUAGUUCAGGUGUGAACUCAUCAUACUGAUGAUAAGUUCAUGAUGACUGCUGUCAUCUCCCUCCAAACUGAAGGGGUCCUGUUGAAGCCGUAUCUCAUCCCCUGUGGCUAUUGCUGCACCUUGUCCUCAGAGCAUCAGCUGCUUCUGAGGAAGCCUUGGGUCAUCAGGAAAUAAACUGUCUGGGUCAUCAAGAAAGCAUGUGCUUGAAAGAGAGAAAAAACCCAUCAUACUGUAGGAGCAAAAAAGCAGAAAACCAGCCUACACGUGUAAGAGUGGCAGCCUCUACAGUGUGGUGUGUGUCCACACGUUGUUUCAGAAGCCAUCUCCCUUCGGCUGUGAUCACUCUCAACUGUUUGCAGUCUGUGUGCGGUGACGUGCACGGAAUAUUACUAUGAAAAUGUGCAUUCUUGUUAAUAGGUAUAGUUUAGGAUGAUUGUUAGCAGAGCAUAAGGCCUUAUUGAUUGAAAGUGGCAUAUGGCAAGGAUGUAUAAUGAUUCGCUUUGGCUGCUAGUUUGAAAUCCUAUUCAUGGGUGAAAAAAAACCCCACUCGCCUUUGCAGUCAGGCUUCAUUCUUUCUGCAGCAUGUUUUUCAAACCAGGCCAUUUUACAAGUGAUCCGUAGGAGAGAUUUCCUGCUCUCCUGGGUGUGUGCUCAAAGCUUUUUUCAGUCUUGCAAGGGCAGGUCACAAGAACAAAAACUGAAGCUAUCAUAUGCCUCCCUUUGAGGGAAAGGUUGGUUGUCUUGCAGUUCUCUCUCUAAAACUCUAUUUCUGGGCGUUUAGUGUUUAGGAAAGGUGGUGGACUUGAAAUCCUGAUCACAGUAAAUGCCAGGGAUAGGUACAAGGCUGGUUUCCAGCAGCAUUCCUUGGUGCCUGGUGGGAGAGGGUGUAAAUCCUCACCUGCAGCAACAGCCUUGUGGAAAAGGUUUUAAUAUUUUUUCCAAUUGCAUUUUUGAAAGGCAAAGAUGCCAGGGCUCCAGCAAGCUGCAGGGAAAGUGAGCUCUUCUCUGGAUCCAGCUUCUCUUCACAGGGGGAAAAAAAUGCAUGUUCCUACAUGGCAUUGGCAAAUACAGAGUAAUUAACCUGAGGUAAAAUCCCAAAGUAGACAAAGUAUUAAUAAAUGUGAACUGACAGAGAUAAGCCCUGAGGACCUCAUCUAUCUUCCCCAUGCUUUAGCAGGUCCAAGUGAAGCUGAAGUUGUCUCACCUGUUCUGCCUUGUGUGGACUGACAGGGUAAGCACAGGCCUUGCACUGGGUAAAGCUGGCACCUUGUGAGUCCUGAAUGCCCCCACCCCCCAUCACUGCUGCUUCUGAGGAAUCUGUUGAACCUCAAGAGAGUUGUCCUGAAGGAUGACAGCUCAGAGUGGCACUGUCCUGGUGCUCAAGAGCAAAUAUGGCUGCAACUGAUCCCAGUACUGACCCCAGCACCCCCUCAGCCACUAUUGCUGGGGGGCAGUGCAGGGAAGGGUUUUGCCAGGUUGGCUGGACAUUGGAGGAGAAGGUGAUCCCAGCAGCCCAGAGCUAUCUGGGUUGCCUUCACUGAACAGGGAAAAGCUGCAGGGACUCAUCCUAACCCAAAUGGAUCAGCUCAUACAGGAAGAUAACUAGCUGGCAGAGGAAAAGGGUAUGAUCUGUGCCCAUUCCUAUGAGCCUGCAAACCUCCUUGACUUUUAUCUGGCUGAUGUUCAGUAUUAUCUGAACACUUUUCCUGGCAACAGCACCAAGAACAAUUCAAAUGGCACUCACUUCACUACUGGAGGCACAGCUCUUGUGUUUCUCCACCAGCAAAUAAAGAGCAGAGCCGAGCCUUCAUAUAUGUCUUUUCUGGGAACUGAUGCUUUCUAAGAAUUGCUUACAAAGAAUUAAGUGAUCUAUUUGGUUGUCAUCCAGAAGUCCUGGGCUUGGUAAAUGAUCUUGCACAAUUCUUUUUUCCAGGAAGAUACUCCUUCAAGAAGGUCUCAAGGAUUUGCCUGUGGUAGGCAAAACAGGGCUCCCUUGAAUAAAAUAACCCAGAGCAGGCAAAUAAAUGGAAUGUCUUUCAUUAUACCUGUCACCAGUUUAUUUACUCUGUGUCCUCUUUCUGCCAUAAAAAUCUUGAGUGAUUUCAGCACAGUAAAACAUCUGCACUCAUUUUCAGAAAAUAACAACUGCCAAUGUAUGAACUCACUAUUUUCUCAGAACGCCUAUUGUUCUGUGUCCGGCCCUUAUUGUUUCUCAUCUCCUGUGAGUGGUUUACAAUCAAAUCCGCUUUAUUUACAGUGGAAAGCAAAAUAUGUCAGAGCAAGACAAUUGACUAUAAGCCUUCAGUCAAUAACAGCUUAUUUUUGUGCAUGCUAAAAUGUAGUAAUUUCUUGCCUUCAUUGAAACCGGUGGCAAAAUUCCCAUUGGGAGGUGUCAGUUCAGUCCCGUGCCAGGUGCUGGGCUCCUGCUAAGCCUAAGUUGGUACACCUUACCAUGCACCUUCUAAACCUGGAUACAGCACACACAGACCAUCUUUCCACAGGCUCCACAAGCCAUCGUGCAGUGAGCACUCACAAUUAAGGCCUUGUAUCAAACAAUACUUUAGCAUUGUUCAACUGGUUUGGUGCUUAGGGACUUUUGUAAGAUACUGAGCUGUCAGCAGGCAGAUCAUCUCUAUCCCACAGUGUCUCAGUCUUUACUCUUGGUUUGUGGCCAACAUCAACUCCCACUGAAGGCCUUUCUUAUAUAGUUUUCCAGUGAAUGCUUUCCAUGGGGUCAUCACAUCUCAGAGAUAAACACUGAAAAGCUGAAGCGUGCUAUUAAGCUUCUUAAAACAUUAGAAAGACAAUCAUUUUGACAGAAGAGAUGUUAAUCACACUUCUAUAAAAGCUUUUCCUCUUCAAAGCAUUUAACCAACAUUAAUUACAGGUAAUUGGCUUUUCCACAUACAUCAUGCAAAACACACCUUUCAUGUCACUUGUCUCUGCUAUCUUACCCGGGAUUUCUGAGACAAAGCUGUGCCUCUCCAGUGCAGCACAGCUUCCUGAAGCCACCUGAGGCCUCAUCUUGCAAAUCCCAAAGGGCAACAUUUACAACAGCAGUUGUACAGAAUACAGACACCUCAGCUGAACUGAGAGAUCUGGGAAAAAAAUAAUGCCAUCCCACUCGGGUGACUGCAAAGCUGUGUCUCCAUUUCCCCGACAAAAUCAUCUGAGGAGACUCUCUGAAAUUUUGAUGUCCCCCUUGCCUGGGGACGUCCCUGUCUUCACCAGGCCUAUCUAGGUCCCACACCCACAUUCUGGUGUCUGCCCAAAACGUCCAGGACGCCCUAGCCAGAAGCAAGCUGCUCUCUGGACUCCAGCAGCACUGCAUUUGAUAGGCUAGAGUAAAAAGAGAAGAGACCACAUUUUCCAUGGAUACCUUGUGUCGAACCACUUACCCAAGAAGUCGAGAACUUGGGUCCACUCCCUUCAUCUGCUGGGGGAUGUCUGAAACCCCCAUCUGCCACCACCUGCCUUGCUUUUCUUGCAUGACCUUUUCAUUGGAACAACUGCUACAUUCAGCCACAAACAACCUGAGAAAGUUAAGAUUUUUAUUCCAUUUUACAGCAUGUGUGAGACAAAAAAACUUUCUUGCCCAGUGAACUGUCAGGAUUCAGCUAGGAAAUACGAGUUCCAUGUGUCCUUGGAAGAGCUGGCUAGUAUUCAAGCUCCCUGUUGCUCAGGGCUGAAAGAAAAGGAUUUUGGAAGCAUAAGUCACAAAACAGUAAAUUUCACCCAAAAGGCCAAAUGAAGAAAAUGCCCAAGAAAAGAAAAAAACAAAAAUGUUUACAGGGACUAGUGCACAGAGAAUUUAUCCUGGACAUGAGCACUGGUUGGAGGAUAAGGUUCACAACAGGUAAGAAAUAAAACCCAGGCACUAUCUGGGAUCAACAGCACCACUCAGGUCAGGAGAUAGGUGAAGGUCCUGAUAAGUGUCUUCCCUCUGUUUGGCUGCCUUUCAGAGGGCAGUAUUGAAGGUGAUAUUAUGCUUGUUUUCAUAUUCAGUGUAGAGCUAUUUACAAGCUGAUUAGCUCCAUCACUGUUUAUAUAUGUAGCUAACAGAGCUAAAAAAUGUGCUGUUAGUUCAAUGGCUCAUGAAGGUAUGAAGGCUCCACCUGGCAGCCUGGCAUUCCUGCAUUGCCUUGAAGUAAAUAAAGGUGCUUUCCCAAAAGUUCAGGACUUUGCUAACUUUUAUUCUUGGCCCUCAACUUUUAUUCUUAACCCUAGAUGGCUGCAAAGCCCUCUUGCCCCCUUAGCUGGAGUGGCUGUUUAUUUUGAAGACAUCUUCACGACCUCAUUCUCAAGAUUAUAAUUCAGUUGUUGGCCACACAGUUCUGUCAGACUACUCCCACCCUGGAAGUUAAGUAAAUGGUUAUUAAGUAAGUGUGUUAUUGGUUCAGAACGAGGAGACUCCACCUUGCUGGAUUGAGCCCUGUAUUCAUAUUUCCUUUUAAACUUCUCCAAGUAAGCCCAUACAGGCUGGCAACACUGAGUGCAACGUUACAGGAGAUGACUGUGGCAAUUUCUGAAUGACAAGAGCAUUUAAAAGAAAUGUCAAGAGUCUGUGGGCUGCAAGCUUUUAUGUUUCAAGGAGAAACAAGAACAAAGGAGGGACAAUAAAUCAAACGCAACAGCUUAGCAUGCUCCAUGUCUGAGAGUUAACCUCUUGAAAGCCACGUCCCUGACACAGCGAGGGCCACACUCCUUUGAUCGGGUCCAUUAUUUUGUGCAAAGUGAUGGAAGCAGCAGGGUGGGCACCUCUGUGCAUGCCCAGGGGCCAUGUACACUGUGCUUUGCUUGACAUGUGCUAUGCAUUUAUGGGUUAACAUCAAACAUGAGCUGAUUUAUAAUUUUUAAUCAAAAAAGGAUUAUAACCUAAUAAAUCAUAAUAACGUA